UCCGGCUUCUCGCCGGCAGUCCUCUUCGAGUGCCCGACAUGACCCGCUGGUAACUAGUGAUAGGGGUUGCGCUCGUUGCGGGACUUAACCUAACAUCUCACGACACGAGCUGACGACAGCCAUGCAUCACCUGUCACCGAGUUCCUUGCGGCACAGUCUGGUUUCCCAGACCUUCUCGGGAUGUCAAACCUUGGUAAGGUUCUUCGCGUAUCCUCGAAUUAAACCACACGCUCCACCGCUUGUGCGGGUCCCCGUCAAUUCCUUUGAGUUUUAAGCUUGCGCUCGUACUCCCCAGGCGGAAUGCUUAACGCGUUAGCUUCGCUACCGAGCCGGUCGAUAGGCCCAACAGCUAGCAUUCAUCGUUUACGGCGUGGACUAC
This 379-nucleotide unclassified non-coding RNA is filed under the name uncultured bacterium. RNAcentral's name for it is "contains 16S-23S intergenic spacer region". The record is from RNAcentral.